This 84-nucleotide transfer RNA is filed under the name Gemmatimonadota bacterium. Its description in RNAcentral is "Gemmatimonadetes bacterium (activated sludge metagenome) tRNA-Ser". It matches the Rfam family "tRNA". From Rfam's summary of the family: Transfer RNA (tRNA) molecules are approximately 80 nucleotides in length. The record is from RNAcentral. Lineage: Bacteria; Pseudomonadati; Gemmatimonadota.
GGAGCGGUGUCCGAACUGGCUAAGGAACCGGUCUUGAAAACCGGCGCCCGCAAGGGCAUGUGGGUUCGAAUCCCACCCGCUCCG